Molecule: transfer RNA, 71 nt
Filed under: Bos taurus (domestic cattle)
Lineage: Eukaryota; Metazoa; Chordata; Mammalia; Artiodactyla; Bovidae
Also listed under: 3 other names
Rfam family: tRNA
About the family: Transfer RNA (tRNA) molecules are approximately 80 nucleotides in length.
Source: Rfam by way of RNAcentral
UCCCAGGUGACUCAGUGGUAAAGAAUCUACCUGCAAUGCAGGAGAUGUAGGUUCGAUCCCUGGUUUGGGAA